RNAcentral lists this ribosomal RNA (1074 nucleotides) under uncultured eukaryote. RNAcentral's name for it is "SSU rRNA". It matches the Rfam family "Eukaryotic small subunit ribosomal RNA", at positions 577 to 1674 of the family's 1831-position model. The record is from RNAcentral.
CGGUAAUUCCAGCUCCAAUGGUGUAUGCUAACAUUGUUGCAGUUAAAAAGCUCGUAGUCGAAUUUUUAAGGGAAUCAAUUUCGUGUGGUCUUAAUGAACUACAAAGGAAGAUGAUUUAUCUUAUUUUAUGCUAUUCCACCGUUGGAAUUCGCUUUCUGACCGUGAAUUAAGUUUGUAUUUACUUUGAGAAAAUUAGAGUGUUCUAAACAGUCGUACGGCUUUAUCCUAAAGCAUGGAAUGAUAAGCAAUGACAUCGGUUAAUUUCUGUUGGUUUGAGUGGUUGAUGUAAUGAUUUAUAGAGUUAGUCGGAGGUAUUAGUAUUUUGUCGUUAGAGGUGAAAUUCUGGGAUCGACAAAAGACUAACGACUGCGUAAGCAUUUGCCUAGGAUUUGCUCCUUGAUCAAGAACGUCAGUUGAGAGAUCGAAGACGAUCAGAUACCGUCGUAGUCUCAACUUUAAACUAUAUCAGCUAGGGGUUGGCAAAUGUUUAUAUGACUUUGUUAGAACCUUAAGAGAAAUCAAAGCGUUCGGGUUCCGGGGGGAGUAUAGUCGCAAGGCUGAAACUUAAAGGAAUUGACGGAAGGGCACCACAAGAUGUGGAUCCUGUGGCUUAAUUUGACUCAACACUGGGAAACUUACCAGGUCCAGACAUAGGUAAGAUUGACAGAUUGAUCGCUCUUUCUUGAUUCUAUGGGUGGUGGUGCAUGGCCGUUCUUAGUUGGUGGAGUGAUUUGUCUGGUUAAUUCCGUUAACGAACGAGACUAUUACCUGCUAAAUAGCGGAACCUUUUCAUUAGGAUAGUUGCUUCUUAGAGGGACUGGCUUUGCAUAAAUUGCUGGAAGUUGGUAGCAAUAACAGGUCUGUGAUGCCCUUAGAUGUCCUGGGCAGCGCACGGGCUACAAUAGAAGAGUAACUGAGUUUGUACCACUUUGCUCGAAACGGGCUGUGAAAUCUUAAACCUAUUCUUUAAUUGGGAUCGCGCUUUGAAAUUAUUACGUGUAAACCAGGAAUACCUAGUAAGUGUAUGUCAUUAACGUGCACUGAAUACGUCCCUGCCCCUUGUACACACCGCCC